AGCAAGGCUCCCGUGUGUCCUGACAGGGCCUGACUCUGUCCCCUGGGGCUGGGGGAGCUGUCCCAGGGCAGGGAGGGCCAGGGCUGGCAGGGGCUGCUCAGGGAUGGGUUUGGCCCGUGUCCCUCGAAGCAGCGACUGCCCAAGCAGCUGCGCUGGCCCCGGGCUCUCCUCCCGGCCUGCUGGGCUUUGUUGGGUGGCACAGCCUGUGCCAAGGGGCGGCAAGGGGCCUGCAGGCCCCAGCUCUGGGGGAAACAGAGAACGUCCUGGCCGUAUCCACUGUGCUGCCAGCUCGGCAGUGCAGCACAGCACGGGCUCACGCUCCCCACUGCUCCCACAGACGUUAUCACUGAAACAGGAAUAUUUGCCCCGGAUCCAGUGCGCCUCCCAAGAAUUGUCUGCCCCCAGGAUGUGCGCAGGUCCUGCAUGAUAGGCACGGUGGUGACACUGUUCACCGUGCCCCUCGUGCUGAUCGGCUGCUAUCUUGGCAUUCGGAAGCUGUACCAGAGCAGACGUGCUUUUUCCAGUUAUUUGAGAUAGUGAAUGAUGGCUGGACCAUCGAGGAUCUCGUCUCGACGGUGGUAGCUCUAUUUCCCUUCCUCUCUUUUCUCUCUAUUUCCGUUUUCUGUCCCUUCUAUCGCAUUUGCUGUUGGUACCUAAAUAAAGAUGCAUUUGUUGUGAUUAAACUGA
Vidua chalybeata is the source of this 687-nucleotide long non-coding RNA. RefSeq lists it as uncharacterized. The transcript is spliced from 2 exons. The record is from RefSeq and is a predicted model, not a curated record. Lineage: Eukaryota; Metazoa; Chordata; Aves; Passeriformes; Viduidae.